Molecule: small RNA, 193 nt
Filed under: Streptomyces curacoi
Lineage: Bacteria; Bacillati; Actinomycetota; Actinomycetes; Kitasatosporales; Streptomycetaceae
Description: c-di-AMP sequence
Rfam family: c-di-AMP riboswitch aptamer (ydaO/yuaA leader)
About the family: This family represents a conserved RNA structure found upstream of the ydaO and yuaA genes in Bacillus subtilis and related genes in other bacteria. The ydaO/yuaA element is thought to act as a genetic "off" switch for the ydaO and yuaA genes in its native state. It is believed that the element may be triggered during osmotic shock leading to activation of ydaO, a predicted amino acid transporter gene, and members of the yuaA-yubG operon which code for KtrA and KtrB K+ transporters.
Source: Rfam by way of RNAcentral
UCGCGUCAAGCGCCGUAGGCAGGAGCGGGGGACCCAAGGUAGGCGCCGGGUCCGGCAGUUGAGGCCCUUCGGGGUCGGACGGCCGGAGUCGGCUUGGGGUGAAGUCGCGCACCAGGCACCAGCGGUGCGCGGCCGGGCAACUCAACCGGCCCGAACCCGACAGCUCACCUCGCAGGCGUCGGUGAGGGGAUCU